Molecule: microRNA precursor, 62 nt
Organism: Astatotilapia calliptera (eastern happy)
Lineage: Eukaryota; Metazoa; Chordata; Actinopteri; Cichliformes; Cichlidae
Source: Ensembl
UGCUGUCUUGACUUGGCUCUGAGGUUUCCACGUUCUCCUCAGAAUCAGUGCGAGGCAUCCUG